RNAcentral lists this transfer RNA (74 nucleotides) under Nicotiana tabacum (common tobacco). Its description in RNAcentral is "tRNA-Trp". The record is from RNAcentral. Lineage: Eukaryota; Viridiplantae; Streptophyta; Magnoliopsida; Solanales; Solanaceae.
UACUCCAGCUAAUGGAAAAAUGCCUUUGAAUGGUCGUAAUCGUCGACAACCCAACCGACGUCCACCAUAGGCUC